RNAcentral lists this long non-coding RNA (441 nucleotides) under Ananas comosus (pineapple). RNAcentral's name for it is "long non-coding RNA (ACOM_LNC010622)". The record is from RNAcentral. Lineage: Eukaryota; Viridiplantae; Streptophyta; Magnoliopsida; Poales; Bromeliaceae.
GUUCCUGUAGACCUCCAGGCCGUAUAAAGCUCCCACUUCGGUUUCUUCGCAUGCGGUCUGCUGUGCCCAUAACGUGGUCUGAUAGAACUCACAUACCACAUACACGUGUCAGCACAGUCGAUAUUCCAAUGUGAACUUUCGGACCCAUUUCUGGGCACCCGAAAUCAGGAUCCGAAUUGGCUUCCAGUUUCUGCUCAGAUCAGCACUCGACUUCUGGGCGACCCAAACCCAGUUCUGGGCGCCCAAAAUUGGCAAAACUCCAGUUUUGCUUAUUUGAAUGCGCCAAGUCCAUUUUUUCAUCCAUUUUGUGGAGAAACGACUCCGACUCAAUCCGACACUCUCCAGAUACGUCGACCAGUCACUAAUGCUGUAGCCAAUCCUAUCCAAAACUCCGAAACACUAUAUUAUCUGUUACUAAUGAACUCUGGACUUUUUUUAAUU